CAUACAUGUAUGUGUGGUGAAGAAAUAUGCUUUCCAACUGAUACUCUUUCAUGCCCACCUGAAUUUUUCUCAUAACCUCCACAUGUGCUUCAGAGCUGAUGUCAUUAGCAAAUUUAACAACAGCAAGCUCCAGAUCGGACUUCAAAACACGACAUUCAGUCAAAAUAGGAUGUAAUGUAGUCAAAUCUGAUUCAAACUUUUCUAUCCCCUCAAAUCCUGCUGCAUUAGAGAAGUUAC
Molecule: unclassified non-coding RNA, 237 nt
Filed under: Hevea brasiliensis (rubber tree)
Lineage: Eukaryota; Viridiplantae; Streptophyta; Magnoliopsida; Malpighiales; Euphorbiaceae
Source: RNAcentral